UACGUAGGGGGCAAGCGUUGUCCGGAUUUAUUGGGCGUAAAGAGCGUGUAGGCGGCCAGACAGGUCCGUUGUGAAAACUCGAGGCUCAACCUCGAGACGCCGAUGGAAACCAUCUGACUAGAGUCCGGAAGAGGAGAGUGGAAUUCCUGGUGUAGCGGUGAAAUGCGCAGAUAUCAGGAAGAACACCCGUGGCUAAGGCGGCUCUCUAGUACGGUACUGACGCUGAGACGCGAAAGCGUGGGGAGCGAACAGG
This 253-nucleotide ribosomal RNA is filed under the name uncultured bacterium. RNAcentral describes it as "partial 16S ribosomal RNA". It matches the Rfam family "Bacterial small subunit ribosomal RNA", at positions 524 to 776 of the family's 1533-position model. The record is from RNAcentral.